UACGUAGGGGGCAAGCGUUGUCCGGAAUCAUUGGGCGUAAAGUGCGUGUAGGCGGCCCGGUAAGUCCGCUGUGAAAGUCCAGGGCUCAACCCUGGGAUGCCGGUGGAUACUGUCGGGCUCGAGUCCGGAAGAGGCGAGUGGAAUUCCUGGUGUAGCGGUGAAAUGCGCAGAUAUCAGGAGGAACACCAAUAGCGAAGGCAGCUCGCUGGGACGUUACUGACACUGAGGCGCGAAAGCGUGGGGAGCAAACGG
This 252-nucleotide ribosomal RNA is filed under the name uncultured bacterium. Its description in RNAcentral is "partial 16S ribosomal RNA". It matches the Rfam family "Bacterial small subunit ribosomal RNA", at positions 524 to 775 of the family's 1533-position model. The record is from RNAcentral.